CAGCAGCCGCGGGAAUACGAAGGGUGCAAGCGUUACUCGGAAUUACUGGGCGUAAAGCGUGCGUAGGUGGUGGUUUAAGUCCGUUGUGAAAGCCCUGGGCUCAACCUGGGAAUUGCAGUGGAUACUGGGUCACUAGAGUGUGGUAGAGGAUAGUGGAAUUUCCGGUGUAGCAGUGAAAUGCGUAGAGAUCGGAAGGAACAUCUGUGGCGAAAGCGGCUCACUGGACCAUAACUGACGCUGAUGCACGAAAGCUAGGGGAGCAAACAGGAUUAGAUACCCGCGUAGUCCCUGUCUCUUAUAC
This 301-nucleotide ribosomal RNA is filed under the name uncultured bacterium. RNAcentral's name for it is "partial 16S ribosomal RNA". It matches the Rfam family "Bacterial small subunit ribosomal RNA", at positions 509 to 807 of the family's 1533-position model. The record is from RNAcentral.